Molecule: long non-coding RNA, 740 nt
Filed under: Sorghum bicolor (sorghum)
Lineage: Eukaryota; Viridiplantae; Streptophyta; Magnoliopsida; Poales; Poaceae
Description: long non-coding RNA (SBIC_LNC009123)
Source: RNAcentral
AGAAUGUACAGCAGUCUUUAUGUUUCUCACUUCUCGAUCAACAUAUAAAUUCAUUCAAAAAAAAUUAACGCUAUUAUCAUUUUUGCAAGCUAAAAUGAACACCUACUCAACUUUCUAGGGGCCCAUGUUGAUUUCCUCAGAGAUAAAUAGAGCAGGAAUCUAUUCUUUAGUUACGGAAGAUCAAACGAGAGUGGCAGCUUGUAGCCUCUUCUGAUCUCUUGCAUUUGUUAUCAUUUCCGUCUUAUUAUAUUGUUCUUGAUCUACUUUUGUGCUUCACAUAAAUAAAGUUGAGUGACAUUUGACUAUUGGGUAAUGGAAUGUGAACGCAACUAAUUAUGUCAGCAACAAUCAUUGAUAAGAAAAAUGACUUCAAAUUUUAUAUAAAACACUAAAUAUUACUGGAGACGCAGAAGGAUGUAUGUCUACAUACAAAUUGAAUAGAUUUGAAGCCCAAACUCUAUUGUUUCUCUGAGAAGAAAACGGAAUGAAUGCAUAGUGAACAAUGUGCUUUCACUAUUGAUUAAGUUUUUGCCUUUGUUUAAUAUAUAUACAACUCAAUACAGAGAUAUGAUUCUCUUGAAAUUCUGUUGAGACAAGGAAACUCCCAUCAACUACUUAUCAUUUGUUUUCGUGACUUCUAUGCCAGUCUGAAGGCUUUUGAGAGAAAUUAGUGCAUUUCACCAGUUAUUCACCAUUCAUUGCUUUAGAAGAAAAAUAAAAAAAACCUUACAUGAGGCAGU